Solea senegalensis (Senegalese sole) is the source of this 260-nucleotide long non-coding RNA. RefSeq lists it as uncharacterized. The transcript is spliced from 3 exons. NCBI's taxonomy places the organism in Eukaryota, Metazoa, Chordata, Actinopteri, Pleuronectiformes, Soleidae. The record is from RefSeq and is a predicted model, not a curated record.
UGGAGGAAGACGAGGACACAGCAGAGUCUCCAGGACACAGCUGUCUCUCUGUGAAGUCUAACCAGUCCAAACUGUUACCUCCGGACUUCAGUAAUGAACCUGGCGCCUCAGACACAAAACGUCAGAACCAGAGACGGAGACCAGAGUCUCCGGGACCCAGCGGUCUGUCUCUGAAGAGUGACUGGUCCAAAGAUCAACCCCCAACCUUCAGUCAUGAACCUGGAGCCUCAAACACAAAAAACCAGUUUGCUGUUUCUGUG